UGAAAUUUAAAUUUGUCGGGAAAAAGAUAAAGAUAUAUGUUAUACAGUGAUACAGGUAUUUAAAUGUACCUUAUCAUCUUAUGUGAAUGCAUGAUAUAGGGACAAACUUUGUAAGAAACUAACCCAUAUAUUUGCUAUUCUACUAAUGUACUACAUUUAGAGGACUCUCACAAUAGAGUUUCGAAAUUAAAACUGAACCAAAUUCCAGACUAGGUAGAUUUAUGUUUAAACUAUAUAUAUAGUGGCCAUAGAUUAAUUCUUAGGUCAAAUUAUACAUUAAUACUGUCGAUCAACAGAUGGAAGUGUGGCUUUUAUGCAGCUGGAGCAUAAUCAUAGCCACCGUCAUCGUCGUCAUCAUCACUACCACCCUCCGUUGUCCCAGCUGGACGAAUAUAUUUCCCGUUAUCAUCGCCAUAGCCAUUCUUUUUGCGGCAUUCGUAGACCAGGGUUGAAGCAGUAGACAUGUCGUUCUUCUUUUUUAAUUAUCUUUAGUCACUAGGUUAGUAGCGUACUGAAAGAAAGUGUGAUGC
Molecule: long non-coding RNA, 530 nt
Filed under: Aquilegia coerulea
Lineage: Eukaryota; Viridiplantae; Streptophyta; Magnoliopsida; Ranunculales; Ranunculaceae
Description: long non-coding RNA (ACOE_LNC000111)
Source: RNAcentral